CCACGUUCAGCCGUGCCGGUUAGAUGUGCGUAGUUACAUUUAGAUAUUUUUGGACAAUUUUCGGUGUUUUUUACACCGUCAACCUCAUCUUAUUUAUUAGUUUUAACGAAUAUACAACUCUGUGGCUUGGUGUCAGGUACCCAAACUACGGUUUAAGAUCUAUCGUUACAAGUACGUAGAACGGCGUGUGGACUUGCGUUGUAAGUCCAUUCAGCCAAGGACACCAAACAAACUAAAUAUCCAUAAACGUAUAAGUACAUAAAUAUCUUAGAAUCAAGUGUACAACAAGGACCUAAUCCGCCUUAACAUGUUUUAUUUAUGGUGUUUGAACACACCUUAUCAAAGACUUGCCAGUGCCUAAACCCUUCGAGGGCCAGCGCCAUAUUAGCAAAGAAGAAGAAGACAAUGCGUGACAAUAGGUUACAAUGCGUCUUAAUGCAUUUCUUUAAAAUAUAAUAUCAACUGCUACAUGUACAAAGGCAAUAGAAGAUAUAAUUUCCAAAUUGUUACGUACAAAUGUCCUCGCAAAAAUUUUGUCCUCGUAGGUAUGGGGCCUGUGCUUUAUGUAGUUGACACACAGUCUUAUCAAUUGAGAAGUAAAUUAGAUUGUUUAUAUCCAAGCAAUAUUCAUGGUAUAGUAGUAGGAUAAUAAAUUAGUAGUGUUUGGUACUAAAUCUAUAUGUAUCUGUGAUAUUGUCAAAGAAACAAAGAAAAUAAUAUUUAGAAAACAAAGUAAUCAUCAAUUUAAUAAUUGGAUAAUUGCUAUAGAAUGGGUAGUAAUCAAAGAACAAAUACAAGUAGCA
Molecule: long non-coding RNA, 803 nt
Organism: Pseudomyrmex gracilis
Lineage: Eukaryota; Metazoa; Arthropoda; Insecta; Hymenoptera; Formicidae
Exons: 3
Source: RefSeq, a predicted model, not a curated record